This is a long non-coding RNA of Homo sapiens (human), 973 nucleotides long. Ensembl annotates it as PROX1 antisense RNA 1. Its record names the gene PROX1-AS1. Lineage: Eukaryota; Metazoa; Chordata; Mammalia; Primates; Hominidae. The record is from Ensembl.
AUUCUCACCUCUGAGAUGUUAUAAAUUGCAUUAAGAAGCAUCUCCUCCAAUCUUCAUGUUUUAAAAACAACUUGCUAGGGGCAUGUUGGAGGAAAGAAGUUGCAAUAGGCAAACUUAACAGAUUUACAGAUCAUCAAGGCAGAACCAUCUUAUUGUUGAUGCAAUCAUCCGUAGUUCAUGUGACCAUCACAGUAGACCAAUUCAACAGGGGAGUCAAAAAAAGAAAGAUGUACAUACUCAGAUCAUUAAUAUGGAAUGGCUCUGUGGAGCAAUCAGGUUCAAAAAAAUUUAAACAUUUAUUUUACUUUUGGGAGACCAUAGAGAAGUGAUAAAAGCAGAGAGGGGCAGCCUAAAAGACUGUGUCUUUACUUAGAAAACAGUAGAGCUCAUCGGCUUGUGGAUCCUGAGCUGGGAAAAAAGUUUUCUCUCAAUGGGAAAAGAAGUUUUCUUGUCCCACUUCUCAUCACAGUGAGAUCUCCUCUCUAGCAUCCCUAACGUGGGGCCAUCUCACCUCUCCCUGAACUCUUCCACAGGCUCAAGUUUGUACAUUCCAACUUGUUGUUUGGGCCUUGUUGGACAUAACUGAAGUCUGGAUGGCAGGGUGAAAAUUGGAUAAACAGCCACACUGACUCAGGGGAGAUUUUUUUUUAAUGCAAACAUCUGUUUCUUGAAUUUGGCCAUGGUAAGACCUAAGGGAAGGGGGAAUACCAGUUGACGAAAUAAGAUCAAGAAGAUACUGCCUCAUUUUUUCUUCUGUUUCAGGGGUAUAAAUCCUGCCUUCUCUCAGCCUUACAGAGGAAGAAAACCCUUUCCAAGUUUCCUCUGAUACUGGGUUUAUGCCCAAUUAUAGUUUAGGCAUGAAGAAACUGAAGCAUGGAGGAAAAACUUAGCAACUAGCCCAACGUCACACAGGCACCUUUCUCUUUACUCAUUGGACUCAGAGCCAGCCUUGACAAUGUGCUGAUGGCAACCU